Molecule: microRNA precursor, 205 nt
Organism: Oryza rufipogon (brownbeard rice)
Lineage: Eukaryota; Viridiplantae; Streptophyta; Magnoliopsida; Poales; Poaceae
Rfam family: MIR812 microRNA precursor family
Source: Rfam
AAUAAGCACAGUUGUAAGUUUUAAUUCCAACUUUGACCAUUCAUCUUAUUUGAAAUAUUUUUAUAAUUAGUAUUUUUAUUGUUAUUAGAUGAUAAAAUAUAAAUAGGACUUUAUGCAUGACUUAACUUUUAAAUUUUUUUCAUAAAAUUAUCAAAUAAGACGGAUAGUCAAAUGUUGGGUACGAAAACUUAUGGCUGCACUUAUA